GAUGAACGCUGGCGGCGCGCCUAACACAUGCAAGUCGAACGGCACCCCUCUCCGGAGGGAAGCGAGUGGCGGACGGCUGAGUAACACGUGGAGAACCUGCCCCCUCCCCCGGGAUAGCCGCCCGAAAGGACGGGUAAUACCGGAUACCCCGGGGUGCCGCAUGGCACCCCGGCUAAAGCCCCGACGGGAGGGGAUGGCUCCGCGGCCCAUCAGGUAGACGGCGGGGUGACGGCCCACCGUGCCGACAACGGGUAGCCGGGUUGAGAGACCGACCGGCCAGAUUGGGACUGAGACACGGCCCAGACUCCUACGGGAGGCAGCAGUGGGGAAUCUUGCGCAAUGGGGGGAACCCUGACGCAGCGACGCCGCGUGCGGGACGGAGGCCUUCGGGUCGUAAACCGCUUUCAGCAGGGAAGAGUCAAGACUGUAC
Molecule: ribosomal RNA, 430 nt
Filed under: uncultured bacterium
Lineage: Bacteria
Description: bacterial SSU rRNA
Rfam family: Bacterial small subunit ribosomal RNA
Source: RNAcentral